AGAAUCAACGCUGGCGGCGUGCCUAACACAUGCAAGUCGAACGAGAAAGGGGAGCAAUCCCUGAGUACAGUGGCGACCGGGUGAGUAACACGUGACUAACCUACCCUCGAGUGUGGAAUAACAUCGGGAAACCGAUGCUAAUACCGCAUAACAUCGCAAGAUCAAAGGAGUAAUCCGCUUGAGGAGGGGGUCGCGGCUGAUUAGCUAGUUGGCGGGGUAACGGCCCACCAAGGCGAAGAUCGGUA
Molecule: ribosomal RNA, 245 nt
Filed under: uncultured bacterium
Lineage: Bacteria
Description: partial small subunit ribosomal RNA
Rfam family: Bacterial small subunit ribosomal RNA
Source: RNAcentral